CGCGUAGGUGGUAGUGUAAGUCUGGGGUGGAAUCCCAGGGCUCAACCCUGGAACUGCCUUGGAAACUGCAUUACUUGAGUCAGUAAGGGGAGGGUAGAAUUCCUGGUGUAGCGGUGAAAUGCGUAGAUAUCAGGAGGAAGGCCUGUGGCGAAGGCGGCCCUCUGGCGCUGGACUGACACUGAGGCGCGAAAGCGUGGGGAGCAAACAGGAUUAGAUACCCUGGUAGUCCACGCCCUAAACGGUGGGCACUAGGUGUAGGGCUCGUAAGGGUUCUGUGCCGAAGGGAAACCAUUAAGUGCCCCGCCUGGGGAGUACGGCCGCAAGGUUGAA
Molecule: ribosomal RNA, 330 nt
Filed under: uncultured bacterium
Lineage: Bacteria
Description: bacterial SSU rRNA
Rfam family: Bacterial small subunit ribosomal RNA
Source: RNAcentral